RNAcentral lists this ribosomal RNA (615 nucleotides) under Salmonella enterica subsp. enterica serovar Tennessee. RNAcentral describes it as "bacterial LSU rRNA". It matches the Rfam family "Bacterial large subunit ribosomal RNA", at positions 594 to 1211 of the family's 2925-position model. Lineage: Bacteria; Pseudomonadati; Pseudomonadota; Gammaproteobacteria; Enterobacterales; Enterobacteriaceae. The record is from RNAcentral.
UGACUGCGUACCUUUUGUAUAAUGGGUCAGCGACUUAUAUUCUGUAGCAAGGUUAACCGAAUAGGGGAGCCGAGGGAAACCGAGUCUUAACCGGGCGUUAAGUUGCAGGGUAUAGACCCGAAACCCGGUGAUCUAGCCAUGGGCAGGUUGAAGGUUGGGUAACACUAACUGGAGGACCGAACCGACUAAUGUUGAAAAAUUAGCGGAUGACCUGUGGCUGGGGGUGAAAGGCCAAUCAAACCGGGAGAUAGCUGGUUCUCCCCGAAAGCUAUUUAGGUAGCGCCUCGUGAAUUCAUCUCCGGGGGUAGAGCACUGUUUCGGCUAGGGGGCCAUCCCGGCUUACCAACCCGAUGCAAACUGCGAAUACCGGAGAAUGUUAUCACGGGAGACACACGGCGGGUGCUAACGUCCGUCGUGAAGAGGGAAACAACCCAGACCGCCAGCUAAGGUCCCAAAGUCAUGGUUAAGUGGGAAACGAUGUGGGAAGGCCCAGACAGCCAGGAUGUUGGCUUAGAAGCAGCCAUCAUUUAAAGAAAGCGUAAUAGCUCACUGGUCGAGUCGGCCUGCGCGGAAGAUGUAACGGGGCUAAACCAUGCACCGAAGCUGCGGCAGCGA